CCUACGGGCGGCAGCAGUAGGGAAUAUUGCUCAAUGGGGGAAACCCUGAAGCAGCAACGCCGCGUGGAGGAUGAAGGUUUUCGGAUUGUAAACUCCUUUUGUUAGAGAAGAUAAUGACGGUAUCUAACGAAUAAGCACCGGCUAACUCCGUGCCAGCAGCCGCGGUAAUACGGAGGGUGCAAGCGUUACUCGGAAUCACUGGGCGGAAAGAGCGCGGAGGCGGGAUAGCAAGUCAGAUGUGAAAUCCUAUGGCUUAACCAUAGAACUGCAUUUGAAACUGUUAUUCUAGAGUAUGGUAGAGGUAGGUGGAAUUCUUGGUGUAGGGGUAAAAUCCGUAGAGAUCAAGAGGAAUACUCAUUGCGAAGGCGACCUGCUAGAACAUAACUGACGCUGAUGCGCGAAAGCGUGGGGAGCAAACAGGAUUAGAUACCCCUGUAGUC
RNAcentral lists this ribosomal RNA (440 nucleotides) under uncultured bacterium. Its description in RNAcentral is "partial 16S ribosomal RNA". It matches the Rfam family "Bacterial small subunit ribosomal RNA", at positions 338 to 795 of the family's 1533-position model. The record is from RNAcentral.